AGCAGCCGCGGUAAUUCCAGCUCCAAUAGCGUAUAUUAAAGUUGUUGCAGUUAAAAAGCUCGUAGUUGAAUUUCGGGGUCAGUAGGUCGGUCGUGCCACAGGUAUGCACUGGUCUCACUGAUUCCUCCUUCCUGAUGAACCGUAAUGCCAUUAAUUUGGUGUUGCGGGGAGACUGGACUGUUACUUUGAAAAAUUAGAGUGUUUAAAGCAGGCUAACGCUUGAAUACAUUAGCAUGGAAUAACGGAAUAGGACGUUCGAUCUUAUUUUGUUGGUUUCUAAGAUUGACGUAAUGAUUAAUAGGGAUAGUUGGGGGCAUUAGUAUUCAAUUGUCAGAGGUGAAAUUCUUGGAUUUAUUGAAGACUAACUACUGCGAAAGCAUUUGCCAAGGAUGUUUUCAUUAAUCAAGAACGAAAGUUAGGGGAUCGAAGACGAUCAGAUACCGUCGUAGUCUUAACCAUAAACUAUGCCGACUAGGGAUCGGAUGAUGUUAAUUUUUAAUGACUCAUUCGGCGCCUUAAC
Molecule: small RNA, 520 nt
Filed under: uncultured Glomus
Lineage: Eukaryota; Fungi; Glomeromycota; Glomeromycetes; Glomerales; Glomeraceae
Description: SSU rRNA
Rfam family: Eukaryotic small subunit ribosomal RNA
Source: RNAcentral